RNAcentral lists this unclassified non-coding RNA (294 nucleotides) under Hevea brasiliensis (rubber tree). Lineage: Eukaryota; Viridiplantae; Streptophyta; Magnoliopsida; Malpighiales; Euphorbiaceae. The record is from RNAcentral.
UCUGUGAGUGGGCCUUCACUUUCCGUGUCUCCCCGUCCCAAUACUCCGGACCCUCCUGCUCUAUCCACGGCGCCCGCGGCUCCAUCCUCUGGCUCGCGGCGUCGCUGUCGAACCGCACGAACUGCGUGUCGUCCACGUAGCCCACUGCGAUGAAGCGGGGCUCCCCGCGGCCGGGCCGGGACACGGAUGUGAAGAAAUACCUCAUGGAGUGAGAGCCCGCCCAGGUCUGGGUCAGGGCCAGAGCCCCCGAGAGUAGCAGGACGAGGGUUCGGGGCGCCAUGACGGCCAUCCUCG